Ictidomys tridecemlineatus (thirteen-lined ground squirrel) is the source of this 73-nucleotide non-coding RNA. The record is from Rfam. NCBI's taxonomy places the organism in Eukaryota, Metazoa, Chordata, Mammalia, Rodentia, Sciuridae.
GGAGAUAUAGCUCAAUUGGUAGGGUGCUUGCAUUGCAUGCACAAGGUCCUGGGUUCAAUUCCCAGCACCACCA